CUUCUGUGCUUCCCUAAGAAUGUGGAGGAGGAAAAAUGAAUAGAAGGUUUUGAUGACAAGCUUAAAAAAUUUUUUGCUGAGUGGCUGGCAAGAUGGCCCAAUAGGAACAGCUCCAGCCUGCAGCUCCCAGUGAGAUCAACGCAGAAGUGGUGCCUGGAAUGCCAGAGAGACAGAACCAUUCACUCCCUGGAAAGGGGGCUGAAACCAGGGAGCCAAGUGGUCUAGCUCAGUUGAUCCCACCCCCAUGGCGCCCAGCAAGGUUUUGAGCACCUUUUGGAUUAAUGCCAGAAGAAAUCCUUCAAAACUUUGUGUCAGUCUUUCUGUUGUGGAGAUUUUUUUUUUUUCAGUCUUUUUGUCUGCCUAGCAUUUGCAUCCCCUUUCUACGUGAGAUUAAUCUUGGUGGGAGAAAGAGCAAACUUUAAACUUUAGAAACAUUAACUAUAUAAACUAUAAAAACUAAAAAUACCAGAUACGUUCUCAGCCUGAUUUGAAGCAAGGGUUUGGGCAAAUACUUCGGGCUCUCUAUAUUGGAUGCACUCAUACCAGUUUUUGAGUAGGAAGUUAGUGACACCAAAAAACACGGGAAGUGACUCAUUCUCUGAUAAAGGAAGUGGUUACAGCACAAUUGUGUUCCUGAUAGAUCAGUGACAACAUUAUCUAGGACACUCAGUGUUCUAGUUUUGUGGGGGCAGAAGUAGUUUCCUCAUCAGCCCAGUUUUGCAGCCUCAAUUGGGGCAUUGUUCAAGAUUCAUUGUUCUGAGCAAGAUGGUUCCGCUCUCCUGGUGAUUCAGAGAGCUACCUAUUAGUUUUUAAAAUAAACUCUUUUUUAUCCUCCCA
This 837-nucleotide long non-coding RNA is filed under the name Homo sapiens (human). Its description in RNAcentral is "HSALNT0058524". The record is from RNAcentral. Lineage: Eukaryota; Metazoa; Chordata; Mammalia; Primates; Hominidae.